UUUAAUCACAACUCUAUGACAAUUUUCUACUCCUCAUUUAUAAUACGAAAACUGAACAAUCAUAAAAUUGAACUGUUUUACUUCACAUAAAUAUCCAGCUACGAUACUCCUAUACCGUUUUUACAUAGACAACAAUCUCAAAAUCGCAAUAUGAUCAUCCAUUUACAUAUUCUAUACUCUAUGUACUAUAACGCUUCUUAGUGCCUGGUUUACUCUUUCAAAGCUGUCAGGUGCAUAAAUAUUGAUGACAGAAAAUCACCACAAGCGCACUCAAAGGCUUAAAUAAAAUAAACAUUAUCUAUCGUU
Schizosaccharomyces pombe (fission yeast) is the source of this 306-nucleotide non-coding RNA. The record is from the annotation of a GenBank genome assembly. NCBI's taxonomy places the organism in Eukaryota, Fungi, Ascomycota, Schizosaccharomycetes, Schizosaccharomycetales, Schizosaccharomycetaceae.